Molecule: ribosomal RNA, 534 nt
Filed under: Pseudomonas aeruginosa
Lineage: Bacteria; Pseudomonadati; Pseudomonadota; Gammaproteobacteria; Pseudomonadales; Pseudomonadaceae
Description: bacterial SSU rRNA
Rfam family: Bacterial small subunit ribosomal RNA
Source: RNAcentral
GAGGGAGAAAAGUGGGGGAUCUUCGGACCUCACGCUAUCAGAUGAGCCUAGGUCGGAUUAGCUAGUUGGUGGGGUAAAGGCCUACCAAGGCGACGAUCCGUAACUGGUCUGAGAGGAUGAUCAGUCACACUGGAACUGAGACACGGUCCAGACUCCUACGGGAGGCAGCAGUGGGGAAUAUUGGACAAUGGGCGAAAGCCUGAUCCAGCCAUGCCGCGUGUGUGAAGAAGGUCUUCGGAUUGUAAAGCACUUUAAGUUGGGAGGAAGGGCAGUAAGUUAAUACCUUGCUGUUUUGACGUUACCAACAGAAUAAGCACCGGCUAACUUCGUGCCAGCAGCCGCGGUAAUACGAAGGGUGCAAGCGUUAAUCGGAAUUACUGGGCGUAAAGCGCGCGUAGGUGGUUCAGCAAGUUGGAUGUGAAAUCCCCGGGCUCAACCUGGGAACUGCAUCCAAAACUACUGAGCUAGAGUACGGUAGAGGGUGGUGGAAUUUCCUGUGUAGCGGUGAAAUGCGUAGAUAUAGGAAGGAACACC